CCUACGGGUGGCAGCAGUGAGGAAUAUUGGUAAAUGGACGAGAGUCUGAACCAGCCAAGUCGCGUGAAGGAUGACUGCUCUAUGGGUUGUAAACUUCUUUUAUAUGGGAAUAAAAUGUUCCACGUGUGGUCUUUUGUAUGUACCAUAUGAAUAAGGAUCGGCUAACUCCGUGCCAGCAGCCGCGGUAAUACGGAGGAUCCGAGCGUUAUCCGGAUUUAUUGGGUUUAAAGGGAGCGUAGGUGGAUUGUUAAGUCAGUUGUGAAAGUUUGCGGCUCAACCGUAAAAUUGCAGUUGAAACUGGCAGUCUUGAGUACAGUAGAGGUAGGCGGAAUUCGUGGUGUAGCGGUGAAAUGCUUAGAUAUCACGAAGAACACCGAUUGCGAAGGCAGCUCACUGGACUGCAACUGACACUGAGGCUCGAAAGUGUGGGUAUCAAACAGGAUUAGAUACCCGGGUAGUC
RNAcentral lists this ribosomal RNA (460 nucleotides) under uncultured bacterium. RNAcentral's name for it is "partial 16S ribosomal RNA". It matches the Rfam family "Bacterial small subunit ribosomal RNA", at positions 338 to 795 of the family's 1533-position model. The record is from RNAcentral.